UGCUGGCCGGAGCUCUUUUCACAUUGUGCUACUGUCCGCCCGUCACGAGCAGUGCAAUGUUAAAAGGGCAUUGGCCGGGCA
Molecule: microRNA precursor, 81 nt
Filed under: Fukomys damarensis (Damara mole-rat)
Lineage: Eukaryota; Metazoa; Chordata; Mammalia; Rodentia; Bathyergidae
Description: mir-130 microRNA precursor family
Rfam family: mir-130 microRNA precursor family
About the family: The hairpin precursors (represented here) are predicted based on base pairing and cross-species conservation -- their extents are not known.
Source: Rfam by way of RNAcentral